UCGGCACCCCUCCACCAGCCUACACUGGCCGUUCGCCACCCUCCCUCUCUCUUCCUCCCUCUCCCUCCCUCCCCCUCUCUUUUCCUCCUCCCUCUCCCCCUCCUUCGUCAGUUUCUCGAUUUGAAGGCCGGAAAUAUCCUGGUCCACUGCCAAUACGGCUCGGUAUGCUCCGAAUCGGGCGAUUCAGGACAGUUCCACUGAUGCUGGUAAAAACAAUACCGACUAAUGACAAGUCCUCAUAACUAUCAUAUUACAAUUUUCCACCUUUUAGAUAUGGUCAGUGAGAAGCUAUACUCACUAGAAAUAUAUUAAGUAAUCUAGUGUUUUGGAUACUUAGCCCAAACAUGCUAAAAGUUUGCUAGAUCUGUUGACAAGAAGAGCAUCAAAUUUCACAUGCAAGAAUGCUGGUGAUUCUAUAAAUUCCACCCUCUCAACCUGAAUCUCAUAUAAUCAUGUGUAUAUGAUACACAAAGUCCUAGAAAAGCAAACUCUCCUCCUAUUAGGCUGAAAAUUCCACUAGUGAGCGGACGUGAAUAAAGUUUCUUGAUGUUUUGUUGAAAGAUGGGCAAAGGCAUGGAUUCAUUGCCUACCACCUAUUUAAAAUAUUACAAGAAAAAGGCAAAAAGGUACCCGAACACCCAGAAAGGUCCAUAGACCCUUAGGAACCUCAACAAAGUGACUAGCAAAGCAUAAGGUUCUUGGAUUUUUUGAUGAUAGAUCCAAAGCAUAAGAAAAAUCAUGUGAAAAAGCAAGCUUAAAAGGAUAUUAUUGUUAAGUUUGACUAGACUUCUAAAACUUGAUCAAAGAUCUAGCAUUUGGUUCUAAUGUCCAAAAUCAUGCAAUUAUUUGUACAAACAGAUCUUACAACAUCUAUGUAAAACACUGAGAGUACAGACAUCAAAAAACAUGACAAUGCUGAGACCAUGAUGAUGAUGAUAAAAUUAUCCCUCCUCCUACCGGCAGUAUUUAUUCUCAAAGCCUAAUGUGCAUGCCUCUCAUAAAGAAAUGAAAAAGGAGCAAAGCAGGCACUGCAGAUGAAAAUCUGUUUGAUGCAUUUGCAUCAUUUUAUAAUACCUUAUUCCUCGCUUUCAGACUUAAGGUGUGGCAAGCCUUGAACGUACUUUGUAAAGUCUAAAGACACUAAACAAUGACUACUAGUGUAAUCUUUGUAAAGCAAAAUCUUCAAUACCAACAACAUGACAUUUUCAGGGAAUAAAUGCAUAAAAUCUGACUUUAGCAGAUAUUUGAAUUUUGACCUUCUAAUCAGAUCCCCCAACAACAUAUUACAACAUUCUUAAAAAGGCAACAGUGCCACAACAUGUAAUGAACAAUUAAGAACAUAAAGAUCACAAUGAAUGAUGCACCACUUAAAAAAAACUAUAUAAUAUACACUAUAGACAAUAUCAUAUGGAUUUCAGAAGUUAAAUAUAACAUUACAAUAACUCCAUAUAUAACAAAAGAAAUCUGUAAUAAUGACAAAGUUUUGAGAAUUGAAUCAAUAUAACAUACCAUUUUGCCUAGAUUCCAGCACUUCACCCUCCAGUGAUCCUAUCACUAGGCAAUUCAACACAAGUAGCUAACAUUUACAACAGAAAUUUGAAAUUUUCUGUAUAUUUCCCAUGAAACUUCAAACAACAGUUAUAUGCUAAUUUGAAAAAAAACAUUAUGGCUCAUCUACAACUGCAUAAACCUAGUUAACGACAAUUAGAAGUCUAUGUUAUCAUGAAUAAGAAACAGUCAAUAAAAUCUAGAGAGGCAUUAGUCAUAGAUAAUAAGAAGAUAUACAUGAAAAGAAUUCGUUCCAUAGAAUAGUGCAUUCAAAGUAUGUUGUCUAGCAAAUUGAAUGGGAAAGAUAAUGGAUGAAAGUUAGCCACCUUACUGCUUAUUAUUUUAAGACAUGGAAAGAAUAAGAAUGUUAGGUGUCUGAUUCAAACGGUUAGAGCACUGGGCAUUCACUAAGAGACUUGAUGAUUCCUUAAUACAUAGACAGCUAUGAAGGGGAAGGAAAUGAAAGAGAAUUCACUCAAUAUUUUGAACCUAAAGUUCCAUAUGGUUCCUUCUACCUAGCAGUGGUGUCUAAAAUGGCAGCCAUUGUGGACAGAAAGGUCAAGUUUAUCUCUGGAGGUGCAAAUAAACUAGAUGAGGUGUGAAUCUGACACAAUCCUUACUGGACCUAGUUUGCCUUUAGUUCUGAAUCUAGAUAAUUUAGUUAAAUGGUUCAAAUUCAAUUUGCAACUAAUUAGGUUGAUAUGGAAAAUCUAAAUUAAUGGAAAAAAACCCAACCAUUUUGAACUAGUUUGGUCCUAGCCAAGUAAUCUAUAGUGUUCAUGUCAAGUGCAGUUUUGCAGUUUAGCAAACAUAUGACCAAUGUGAUUGAAGAAUUGAAUCUAGGUUUGGAAGUCAUAUAGACAGCUAAUUAAUCCAUCUUUUUUUAAUCUAGGUCAAGUCUAAGUUAGAUCAGUUAUAGUUGAAUUUAGGGGUCUACCAAACCCAACCUCAACAACUCGGCAAGUAUUGGGAGUUGAACUCAUCAUAUACCAAGGUCAAACCUCUCAGUGGAACUAGGAUACGUCUCAUGGUAAAUAGAACCAACUAGACAGGUUAUAGUGGAAAGUGAAACUGCAUCACACAUUUUUGUUUUAUAAAAUAAAAAAAAAAAAAAGUCAUGGGGCUGCAUAAAGGGGCCUUUUAUAUUUAUAUCUCAUUUUUAGUGAACUGAAAUAAUAGAUAGUUCCAAUAGCAUACACUGCAUGAAAAAGGCGAUUCAAGUAGCUAAUCAAGAUACAAGGAGUGAAUCAGAGAGCAAGUUUUGCAUGUCUUCUAAAGUUUCAAAAUUUUUUAUAGCUAAACAAAGAUUUCCCCUCUACCCUCCAUGGGAAAAAAAGGACUCAACUAGCAAGCCUAUUUGUUUCUCUUGCUAGAAAAUAUACUAGAACUUGUACCCAUAUUUUCUUAACACUGGAAUUUCAUAAUGUAGUCCAUGUGAUCCUAAAACCAUGACCAUCUUGUUGACCUGCAAAAUCCUUGUAUUCAAAAGCUCAUGACCCUCAUCGUAUGUAAGUUAAAAUCCCCCAAUCAUUUAAAUACUGAAAUUCAAUAAUUAAGUCCAUCUAACCCUAAAGCCAACCAUAUUCCUGAGCUGCAAUAUCCUUGCAUUCAAAAGCUCAUGACCCUCAUCAUACGUAAUUUAAAAUCCUCAUCUCAAAGAUAACUUUUCCAUGUCGUUCAGACUGAUUGAGGUGCAGUUGGAUGCCUGACUAGGCGAUCCCCAUAAAACAUCCACAUUGGUGAAAUUCAGCUGAAAAGAAGAAAUCGAUGAGCCUGAUUAGCCCUGUAAUCCCAAGAGGAUAGCCAAAACUAUUUAAGAUGCCAAUCCUCGGUGCCCAGAAACCCAUGAAGUAGCAGGAUUGAUCCGACAACUUGGUUUUCCCAUUUUCUUCCUUCCCUUGGCUCCUCUCUCUAUCCGGUCCCCUCCUUGGGUUGAUAUUCAUCCAACAUGGAAGCCAAGCAUCAAAACAGGCCCUUAAUGAAUUUCAUAGCUAAUAUUUCCAUUCUAUAAUUUCUGGAUGUGUUCACAGCACCAUAAUUUAUCAUGACCAAAGGAAGAACGCACUCAUUGCUAUUUAUCACCUAUCAAAUUCCAAUUUUUAUUUAUGCAUUGGAGAAAACAAUUAUAAAAUUAAAGACUCCAUGUUUUCAGCUAUUAAAUUUUAGUUUUCUUGGUGAUCCUCUGAGAUCAUCAGCGUAUUUACCAUCCACAGACAAGCAAAUACACAGCAUCCUGCCGAGACCAUUAUAGGUCGAGUCACGGCAUCCGCAUGAUGUUAGGCAUGAACACUUCGAAAUCUAACCAAACGAUGAAAACAUUCAACCAUGAAAACGUUUUCUAUCCAAAAAGGGAGAGUCUGGGCGUGGUCGAACAGCCUAAAAAAAUUCACGUGACAAGCAUGGAGACAGAGAUUUUUGGGGGCAAAAAUAUAAACCCUAAACAUAGUCUAAAACGUCGCAGUCAUUUAGUAGUUCAUUUCAAGUAACGAAUUUUCAAAAUUCCAUGGGCAAAAAAAAAAAAUCAAACAGCGAGCUUAGAAUUUUAAAAAAUAAAACAGCAAUUCAAUGCAUCGAAGAUCAAAAGAGACAAAAAAUCAAGAAUUCAUAGUCUUGAUAACUUUAUGUGUACGAAUUGAAGGGAGAGAUAAAUUACAGAUAAGAAUAUGGAGGGCAGAAGAGAGAGUACCGCUCGGUGAGAGAGGAUCGCGUCAAAUCUCUUAUCUCCGGCGCGGAAGCGAAGAAACUAAAAGCGUGGUUCUGGGGCAGGGGAUUUUGGGGAAGAUUUGACGAUGGAUGGGAGCAUGGUAACCCCUUACCGGUACAUGUCACGAACCGAACCGGCAUGAUUCCAAAUCGGACCAGUUUGUACCGGAACUGGC
RNAcentral lists this long non-coding RNA (4427 nucleotides) under Phoenix dactylifera (date palm). RNAcentral describes it as "long non-coding RNA (PDAC_LNC004641)". Lineage: Eukaryota; Viridiplantae; Streptophyta; Magnoliopsida; Arecales; Arecaceae. The record is from RNAcentral.